ACGGAAGGCAGCAGUGGGGAAUAUUGGGCAAUGGGCGAAAGCCUGACCCAGCGACGCCGCGUGAGGGAAGAAGGUCUUCGGAUUGUAAACCUCUUUCAGCAGGGAAGAAGCAAGUGACGGUACCUGCAGAAGAAGUCACGGCUAACUACGUGCCAGCAGCCGCGGUAAUACGUAGGUGGCGAGCGUUAUCCGGAAUUACUGGGUGUAAAGGGUGUGUAGGCGGAGGAGCAAGUCAGGCGUGAAAUUUCCGGGCUCAACCCGGAAACUGCGCUUGAAACUGUUCCCCUUGAGAGUGGGAGAGGUAAACGGAAUUCCUGGUGUAGUAGUGAAAUGCGUAGAUAUCAGGAGGAACACCGGUGGCGAAGGCGGUUUACUGGACUGUUACUGACACUGAGGCACGAAAGCGUGGGGAGCAAACAGGAUUAGAUACCCUGGUA
Molecule: ribosomal RNA, 437 nt
Rfam family: Bacterial small subunit ribosomal RNA